GACGAACGCUGGCGGCGUGCUUAACACAUGCAAGUCGAACGCUGAAGCCCAGCUUUUGUUGGGUGGAUGAGUGGCGAACGGGUGAGUAACACGUGAGUAACCUGCCCCCUUCUUUGGGAUAACGCCCGGAAACGGGUGCUAAUACUGGAUAUUCACUGGUCUUCGCAUGGGGGUUGGUGGAAAGGGUUUUUCUGGUGGGGGAUGGGCUCGCGGCCUAUCAGCUUGUUGGUGGGGUGAUGGCCUACCAAGGCUUUGACGGGUAGCCGGCCUGAGAGGGUGACCGGUCACAUUGGGACUGAGAUACGGCCCAGACUCCUACGGGAGGCAGCAGUGGGGAAUAAUGCACAAUGGGCGCAAGCCUGAUGCAGCGACGCCGCGUGAGGGAUGGAGGCCUUCGGGUUGUGAACCUCUUUCGCUCAUGGUCAAGCCGCAACAAUGGUUGUGGUGAGGGUAGUGGGUAAAGAAGCGCCGGCUAACUACGUG
RNAcentral lists this ribosomal RNA (483 nucleotides) under uncultured bacterium. RNAcentral describes it as "partial 16S ribosomal RNA". It matches the Rfam family "Bacterial small subunit ribosomal RNA", at positions 28 to 507 of the family's 1533-position model. The record is from RNAcentral.